RNAcentral lists this RNase P RNA (348 nucleotides) under Bacteroidales bacterium. RNAcentral describes it as "RNase P RNA component class A". It matches the Rfam family "Bacterial RNase P class A". Rfam says of the family: Ribonuclease P (RNase P) is a ubiquitous endoribonuclease, found in archaea, bacteria and eukarya as well as chloroplasts and mitochondria. Its best characterised activity is the generation of mature 5'-ends of tRNAs by cleaving the 5'-leader elements of precursor-tRNAs. Cellular RNase Ps are ribonucleoproteins. Lineage: Bacteria; Pseudomonadati; Bacteroidota; Bacteroidia; Bacteroidales. The record is from RNAcentral.
GCAGCAGAACGUUCUAUCGCUGUUAGUAAAAUAACAGAGGAAAGUCCGGACAACAAAGGGUGCCGUACUGUUGAAAUAACAGAUAUUUGUGAAGAUAUAGUAGAGCAGAAGAAAAAAACCGCAUUAAUUAUAAGUUUACUUAUGAGAAAUGUAAGGGUGAGAAGGUGGAGUAAGAGCCCACCAGCAUGUAUGGCAACAUAUAUGGCUGUGUUCCUAACGGGUUGCAAGACCAUGUAUACCAACGCUUGAGGGCUACCCGCUCGAUUGUUGGAGGGUAGGUCGCAUAGAUAAAUGAUAGAUACUUCAGGAGAUGAAGUACAGAAUCCGGCUUAUAGGUCUGCUGCUUUU